GAUGAACGCUAGCGGCAGGCUUAAUACAUGCAAGUCGAACGGCAAGGACUUUCGGGUCCCUAGAGUGGCGCACGGGUGAGUAACACGUACACAACAUACCCUAUAUUGGAGGAUAGCCUUGGGAAACUGGGGGUAAUAUUCCAUAGUAUUUAUUGGAGGCAUCUCUGAUAAAUUAAAGAGCAAUCGAUAUAGGAUUGGUGUGCGUCCCAUUAGCUAGUUGGUAGGGUAACGGCCUACCAAGGCUACGAUGGGUAGCUGGCGUGAGAGCGCGGCCAGCCACACUGGAACUGAGACACGGUCCAGGACUCCUACGGGAGGCAGCAGUAGGGAAUAUUGGACAAUGGAGGCAACUCUGAUCCAGCCAUGCCGCGUGGAGGAUGACUGCCCUCUGGGGUUGUAAACUCCUUUUGUACAGGAAGAAACCUCCUCAUUUAUGAGUGAGCUGACGGUACUGUAAGAAUAAAGCACCGGCUAACGUCCGUGCCAGCAGCCGCGGUAAU
This 500-nucleotide ribosomal RNA is filed under the name uncultured bacterium. RNAcentral describes it as "bacterial SSU rRNA". It matches the Rfam family "Bacterial small subunit ribosomal RNA", at positions 28 to 524 of the family's 1533-position model. The record is from RNAcentral.